GUGGGGAAUAUUGGACAAUGGGGGAAACCCUGAUCCAGCGACGCCGCGUGGGUGAAGAAGGCCUGCGGGUUGUAAAGCCCUUUCGGUAGGGACGAAAGCUCUCGACCUAACACGUCGGGAGGUUGACUUAACCUACAGAAGAAGCACCGGCUAACUCUGUGCCAGCAGCCGCGGUAAUACAGAGGGUGCGAGCGUUAAUCGGAAUUACUGGGCGUAAAGCGCACGUAGGCGGCUUGGUAUGUCGGGUGUGAAAUCCCCGGGCUCAACCUGGGAACUGCAUCCGAAACUGCCUUGCUAGAGUAUGGGAGAGGGAAGUGGAAUUUCCGGUGUAGCGGUGAAAUGCGUAGAUAUCGGAAGGAACAUCAGUGGCGAAGGCGACUUCCUGGACCAAUACUGACGCUCAGGUGCGAAAGCGUGGGGAGCAAACAGGAUUAGAAACCCGGGUAGUCC
RNAcentral lists this ribosomal RNA (450 nucleotides) under uncultured Gammaproteobacteria bacterium. RNAcentral describes it as "bacterial SSU rRNA". It matches the Rfam family "Bacterial small subunit ribosomal RNA", at positions 354 to 796 of the family's 1533-position model. The record is from RNAcentral. Lineage: Bacteria; Pseudomonadati; Pseudomonadota; Gammaproteobacteria.